CAUAGACGCGAAACCUAGUGAUCUAGGCCUGUCCAGGCUGAAGCUGAGGUAAGACUCAGUGGAGGGCCGAACUCACCGCCGUUGAAAAGUUGGGAGAUGAGAUAGGUCUAGGGGUGAAAAGCCAAUCGAACUAGGAGAUAGCUCGUUCUCUCCGAAAUGCAUUUAGGUGCAGCCUUGGCAUGAAGAUAUGCGGGGGUAGAGCUCUGUAUGGUCUAGGGGGCGUACUGCUUACCGAAAUCAAGCAAACUGCGAAUACCGCAUAUUAAUAGCCAGGAGUGAGUCCGUGGAUGACAAGGUCCGCGGACGAGAGGGGAACAGCCCAGACCGCCAGCUAAGGUCCCUAAUUAUGUCUAAGUGGGAAAGGAGGUGGAUAUUCACAGACAACCAGGAGGUUGGCUUAGAAGCAGCCAUGCCUUGAAAGAGUGCGUAAUAGCUCACUGGUCGAGAGUAUCUGCGCCGAAGAUGUAACGGGGCUAAGACAUAAACCGAAGCUGCGGAGGCGUGCUUGCACGCCUGGUAGGAGAGCGUUCUGUAGGCCGUUGAAGGAAUGCCGCAAGGCCAUUCUGGAGGUAUCAGAAGUGAGAAUGCAGGAAUGAGUAGCGAGAAGGCGGGCGAGAAUCCCGCCGGCCGGAAGUCCAAGGUUUCCAGGGGAAGGUUUGUCCGCCCUGGGGGAGUCGGGACCUAAGCAUAAGCAAAAAUGUGAUGGCGAAUGGAAAACAGGUUAAUAUUCCUGUACCGCUGUUAUCGCCUGAGAGACGGAGUGACGCAGGAAGGUAUGCGGGAAGGCUGACGGAAUAGCCUUUCUAAGGGCGUAGCAUGGGCAUGCAGGAAAAUCCGCAUGCCUAAAUGUGAGACCUGACGGGUAAGUGCAUCUUGCAUAAGCCGCAGAUCCUACACUGCCGAGAAAAACUUCUAUCGAUGAGAACCAGCGCCCGUACUGUAAACCGACACAGGUGGACAGAGUGAGAAACUUAAGGCCGACAGGAUAACUCUAGCUAAGGAACUCUGCAAAAUGGCCCCGUAACUUCGGGAGAAGGGGUGCCUGACAUACCUGAAGGGAGAGACGCCCUGAGGGGAAACAGGCCGCAGUGAAGAGUCCCAAGCAACUGUUUACCAAAAACACAGGUCUAUGCUAAGCUGAAAGGCGACGUAUAUGGGCUGACACCUGCCCAGUGCCGGAAGGUUAAGAGGAGGGUUGAGAGACUCAAAUUGAAGCCCCGGUGAACGGCGGCCGUAACUAUAACGGUCCUAAGGUAGCGAAAUUCCUUGUCGGGUAAGUUCCGACCUGCACGAAUGGUGAAAUGAUUUGGGAGCUGUCUUGGCUGGAGACCUGGUGAAGUUGUAAUGCCGGUGAAGAUACCGGCUACCUGCAGUAGGACGGAAAGACCCCGUGGAGCUUUACUGUAGUUUGGCAUUGGGUUCUGGCCGCAUGUGUAUAGGAUAGUUGGGAGACUGUGAAGCCAAGGCGUCAGUCUUGGCAGAGUCGCCGUUGGAAUACCAACCAUAUGCCGUCGGAAUUCUAAUCUGGAAACGGAGACAGUGCUAGAUGGGCAGUUUGACUGGGGCGGUCGCCUCCCAAAGAGUAACGGAGGCGUUCAAAGGUUCCCUCAGGCUGGAUGGAAAUCAGCCUAAGAGUGCAAACGCAUAAGGGAGCUUGACUGCAAGACUGACGGGUCGAGCAGGCACGAAAGUGGGAGUUAGUGAUCCGGCGGUUCCGAAUGGAAGGACCGUCGCUCAACGGAUAAAAGCUACCCCGGGGAUAACAGGCUGAUACUUCCCAAGAGUCCAUAUCGACGGAAGUGUUUGGCACCUCGAUGUCGGCUCGUCUCAUCCUGGGGCUGGAGAAGGUCCCAAGGGUUGGGCUGUUCGCCCAUUAAAGAGGCACGCGAGCUGGGUUCAGAACGUCGUGAGACAGUUCGGUCCCUAUCCACUGCAGGCGCUUGAGCACUGAAAAGAUCUGACCUUAGUACGAGAGGACCGGGUUGGACAGACCUCUGAUGUAUCAG
Molecule: ribosomal RNA, 2006 nt
Filed under: human oral metagenome
Description: bacterial LSU rRNA
Rfam family: Bacterial large subunit ribosomal RNA
Source: RNAcentral